CUUGGGCUGCUUCCACAUUCUGGCUGUGCUGCUGAACGCUGCCAUGUAUAUGAGUAUACAAAUACCUGAACCUGCUUUUUAUUUAUUUAUUCUUUUUAAAAAUAUAUUUCAGACAGAGAGAGAGCAGAGGUGUGGAGGGAUAGAGGGAGAGACAGUCUCAAGCAGACUCCAUGCUGGGCAUGUCAUCUGAAAUGGGGCUCUAUCCCAUGACUCCGAGAUCACAACCUGAGAUGAAAUUGAGAAUCAAACACUCAACCAGUUGUGUCACUCGUGCACCCCCGAACCUGCUUUUUAGAUGGACAGCCCAGACUUCAUUUAAGAUGCUGAAAUAAACUCUAAUUGAAUGCACCAUCUGGAAACAUUGAACUACAUGGAGAAAGCAGUGGGAUCAAUUCACAUCAUCCUCCACACCCCCACUGGAUGCUCCGCUCUGAGGAAUCUGAAAGACCUAAGGCCUCCUCGCUCAAAGCACAGUAAGGACUUAGCCUUGGAGCCAGAAGCAAUGUUCAGAACCUUGGAGACCUAG
This 526-nucleotide long non-coding RNA is filed under the name Ursus thibetanus thibetanus. Its description in RNAcentral is "lncRNA (ENSUTTG00000000561.1)". The record is from RNAcentral. Lineage: Eukaryota; Metazoa; Chordata; Mammalia; Carnivora; Ursidae.